RNAcentral lists this transfer RNA (73 nucleotides) under Bacteroidota bacterium. RNAcentral describes it as "Bacteroidetes bacterium tRNA-Met". It matches the Rfam family "tRNA". From Rfam's summary of the family: Transfer RNA (tRNA) molecules are approximately 80 nucleotides in length. Their secondary structure includes four short double-helical elements and three loops (D, anti-codon, and T loops). The record is from RNAcentral. Lineage: Bacteria; Pseudomonadati; Bacteroidota. RNAcentral also lists the same sequence under 1 other name.
GCGCUUGUAGCUCAGUGGUUAGAGCAGUGGACUCAUAAUCCAUUGGUCGUAGGUUCAAGUCCUACCAGGCGCA